RNAcentral lists this ribosomal RNA (294 nucleotides) under Triticum aestivum (bread wheat). Its description in RNAcentral is "partial small subunit ribosomal RNA". Lineage: Eukaryota; Viridiplantae; Streptophyta; Magnoliopsida; Poales; Poaceae. The record is from RNAcentral.
AUGACGCAGAGUAAGCACUUCUUUUGUUCUUGGCAAGAUAAGCACAAGGCAUGGAACAACACCUUAUCUGAAGCUUUGAUUUCUCUUUUUGGUCAGUUGAAACGUGUUGCCCCCCUCCUCCCCAAGGGCAAGGUGAAGGAAGGUGCCUGUGUGGUUUUUCUGCAGCUCGUAGCGAGGAUUGCUGUGUCCAACCUGCACAAGAAUGCCAAGAAGUCCUUCUCGAAGACGAUUAGGGACAUGUACCUGCACUACAACGAGAGAUCUGGGCUGCUUCUUUGUGGCUUCCAAACUUGA